Molecule: long non-coding RNA, 1647 nt
Organism: Phyllostomus discolor (pale spear-nosed bat)
Lineage: Eukaryota; Metazoa; Chordata; Mammalia; Chiroptera; Phyllostomidae
Exons: 2
Source: RefSeq, a predicted model, not a curated record
CAGUGGGGUUUUUGCAAUGACAUCAUCUCUCUGUCCAAAAGGCCCCAAUAGCCAUGCUCAGGAGCGCUGCAUACUGGGAAUUGUAGUCUUCUGACGGCCUGUUGGGACCCUGAGGCUAUUGCCGGAACUACAAUGCCCAAAAUGCGCCAAGGUCGGACGCAUCCAGAGCGGACCCAGCGAGUGAAGGAAACUCUGCCGCCAUGACAGGAGUACCGGGACGUUUCUGCGGAGCCGGGCUGAGGUUUUGGGGAGCGCGCAAGCAGAGUGGUAGUGUGUUGGGGACGAAUGAUUUACAAAAGGGUCCAAAGAAAUCGAUGUUGGAAAGGUAAACAAGUGCUUUGGGACUGACGGUGCUUUGCAGCUGCAAUUGAGAAAAGAUAAGGAGCAACCUAAAAGAGUAUACCUACCAGCAAAAGGAGGGAAAUGUUGAAGGGGGAUAUUAUUGACGUUUGGCGAUCGGUUCCCGAGUGGCACGCGUUCUUGGGUCAACCUAGAGUACACGCUAAAAUACUGCAGAGUUGAGAUGUUCAUUAGCAUGGAUGAACAUCCAUGCUUACUUAAAUUUGUAAUACUCCAUAUUUACAACUACUUUAACAACUUUUUUAAACUAAUAACAAACCAAAAUCACUGGUCUUUAUUUUGUCUAGUAUCUCGAACUGUUGUAGGUUUUUUUUAAAUCAAUUGUGUUACUAAAACAAUGCUCUUGUUUAUUUUUCAGAGUCUGUCUACACUAUGGAAAGAUGGGAGAUCUCUCCUCCUGAGUGUGUCUGAAGGGUUAAAAAUGCUGCUAUACUUUGUGCUCUUUUUCUUCCUCUCUUUUGCACUUUAUUCCGAAAACAAAAUUAAUUAGUUACUUUGGGUCAGUAAGGUAUGCACUUCAACCUGUAAGGAGUUGAUACAACUGUAGCUGAUAGAUAAAUUCUCUUACCAAAAAAGGCUAGGCACAAUGAUUACAAAUGCUAAAAACAUGGUAGGAAUAGUCUCUUAAAUGUACACAGAUAACUACAAAAAUAGUUUUAUGAACAAUCAUCGUAUAUGUCAUGUUUCUGGGAACAAGUCCCAAGAUGAGUGGGUUUGUUUUAUUUUAAAACAAAGGUAAUAUGUAUUGGUCUCAUUUAUUCAUGAAUACAACAGUGGGAAAGACUCAUGCAAAUAAUUCUGUCAUUCAAAAAUACCUUUGCAAGUAAUGGUGGUAAGUAUAGGAAAAGGAAAAAAUGUUUACUAGUUUCUUUCUAAUCUUCAAUAUAACUAAAGAAGUGUUUUAAACUUAAUAGACUAGAGAGGUUCACAUUUAGGCUUAUUUUCAAGCUCUUAAAUUAUUUUCAUUCAGGCUGUUUUUGUGUCCUGUACAAAAUUAUAGUGAAUUUUGUUCAUUUUAUAAGAUAUUUCUUUAUAUAAGCAAUAACUUCCUCAAUUUGAGUUACUGUGGAGGACAUAUUUGUGGGGGAAGAAACCCCAACAGAUUUCUCAGAAAUCUCAUGUUUGAGAAGUGAGACCUGUGUAAUGCACUGAUUUCUGUAAUGUGUCAUGUGUUUGGGUAGUUUGAAGUUUUUCCAGUCUUAUAGUCAGUGGACAUCUAACAAUAAAGAAACAGAUCUAGCUAAUAUCUACAAAAGACUCUAUGGUUUAACCCUUAAUUUUUAGGGG